GAGACCUUCGGGUCUAGUGGCGGACGGGUGAGUAACGCGUGGGAAUUUGCCUUUCGGUGCGGGACAACCAAGGGAAACUUUGGCUAAUACCGCAUACGCCCUACGGGGGAAAGAUUUAUCGCCGAAAGAGAAGCCUGCGUCGGAUUAGCUUGUUGGUAGGGUAAUGGCCUACCAAGGCGACGAUCCGUAGCUGGUCUGAGAGGAUGACCAGCCACACUGGGACUGAGACACGGCCCAGACUCC
RNAcentral lists this ribosomal RNA (243 nucleotides) under uncultured bacterium. RNAcentral's name for it is "partial 16S ribosomal RNA". It matches the Rfam family "Bacterial small subunit ribosomal RNA", at positions 68 to 339 of the family's 1533-position model. The record is from RNAcentral.